Molecule: ribosomal RNA, 741 nt
Filed under: Rothia mucilaginosa
Lineage: Bacteria; Bacillati; Actinomycetota; Actinomycetes; Micrococcales; Micrococcaceae
Description: bacterial SSU rRNA
Rfam family: Bacterial small subunit ribosomal RNA
Source: RNAcentral
GACGAACGCUGGCGGCGUGCUUAACACAUGCAAGUCGAACGAUGAAGCCUAGCUUGCUAGGUGGAUUAGUGGCGAACGGGUGAGUAAUACGUGAGUAACCUACCUUUAACUCUGGGAUAAGCCUGGGAAACUGGGUCUAAUACCGGAUACGACCAAUCUCCGCAUGGGGUGUUGGUGGAAAACGUUAUGUAGUGGUUAUAGAUGGGCUCACGGCCUAUCAGCUUGUUGGUGAGGUAACGGCUCACCAAGGCGACGACGGGUAGCCGGCCUGAGAGGGUGACCGGCCACACUGGGACUGAGACACGGCCCAGACUCCUACGGGAGGCAGCAGUGGGGAAUAUUGCACAAUGGGCGCAAGCCUGAUGCAGCGACGCCGCGUGAGGGAUGACGGCCUUCGGGUUGUAAACCUCUGUUAGCAGGGAAGAAGAGAAAUUGACGGUACCUGCAGAGAAAGCGCCGGCUAACUACGUGCCAGCAGCCGCGGUAAUACGUAGGGCGCGAGCGUUGUCCGGAAUUAUUGGGCGUAAAGAGCUUGUAGGCGGUUUGUCGCGUCUGCUGUGAAAGGCCGGGGCUUAACCCCGUGUAUUGCAGUGGGUACGGGCAGACUAGAGUGCAGUAGGGGAGACUGGAACUCCUGGUGUAGCGGUGGAAUGCGCAGAUAUCAGGAAGAACACCGAUGGCGAAGGCAGGUCUCUGGGCUGUAACUGACGCUGAGAAGCGAAAGCAUGGGGAGCGAACAGG